RNAcentral lists this ribosomal RNA (259 nucleotides) under uncultured prokaryote. Its description in RNAcentral is "partial 16S ribosomal RNA". It matches the Rfam family "Bacterial small subunit ribosomal RNA", at positions 524 to 782 of the family's 1533-position model. The record is from RNAcentral.
UACGGAGGAUGCGAGCGUUAUCCGGAAUUAUUGGACGUAAAGAGCGCGCAGGUGGUUGAUUAAGUCUGAUGUGAAAGCCCACGGCUUAACCGUGGAGGGUCAUUGGAAACUGGUCGACUUGAGUGCAGAAGAGGGAAGUGGAAUUCCAUGUGUAGCGGUGAAAUGCGUAGAGAUAUGGAGGAACACCAGUGGCGAAGGCGGCUUCCUGGUCUGUAACUGACACUGAGGCGCGAAAGCGUGGGGAGCAAACAGGAUUAGA